RNAcentral lists this ribosomal RNA (567 nucleotides) under uncultured bacterium. RNAcentral describes it as "bacterial SSU rRNA". It matches the Rfam family "Bacterial small subunit ribosomal RNA", at positions 74 to 639 of the family's 1533-position model. The record is from RNAcentral.
AACCCGCAAGGGGGACAGCGGCAAACGGGGUAGGAAUGGUCGGUGACGUACCCUUCGGACGAGGAUAGCCACGGGAAACUGUGGGUAAUACUCGAUAAACUCCCUGGACAUGAGGGUUUGGGGAGCAAAGGUGAGAUUCCACCGGAGGAGCGGCUGACUUAGUAUUAGCUAGUUGGUGAGGUAAAAGCUCACCAAGGCUUCGAUGCUUAGGGGGUGUGAGAGCAUGACCCCCACCACUGGGACUGAGAUACUGCCCAGACACCUACGGGUGGCUGCAGUCGAGGAUCUUCGGCAAUGGGCGCAAGCCUGACCGAGCGACGCCGCGUGUGGGAUGAAGGCCCUUGGGUUGUAAACCACUGUCGAGGGGAAUGAAAUGCGUGUGGGUUAUCCCAUGCGUUUGACGGAACCCUGGAGGAAGCACGGGCUAAGUUCGUGCCAGCAGCCGCGGUAAUACGAACUGUGCAAACGUUAUUCGGAAUCACUGGGCUUAAAGGGUGCGUAGGCGGCUUGUUAAGCAGGGUGUGAAAGCCCUCGGCUCAACCGAGGAAUAGCGCUCUGAACUGGCGA